AGAGCGAACGCUGGCGGCAGGCCUAACACAUGCAAGUCGAACGGACCCUUCGGGGUUAGUGGCGGACGGGUGAGUAACACGUGGGAACGUGCCUUUUGGUUCGGAAUAGCUCCUGGAAACGGGUGGUGAUGCCGAAUGUGCCCUUCGGGGGAAAGAUUUAUCGCCAUUAGAGCGGCCCGCGUCUGAUUAGCUAGUUGGUGAGGUAAAGGCUCACCAAGGCUACGAUCAGUAGCUGGUCUGAGAGGAUGACCAGCCACAUUGGGACUGAGACACGGCCCAAACUCCUACGGGAGGCAGCAGUGGGAAUUUUGGACAAUGGGCGAAAGCCUGAUCCAGCAAUGCCGCGUGAGUGAUGAAGGCCUUAGGGUGUAAAGCUCUUUUACCCGGGAUGAUAAUGACAGUACCGGAGAAUAAGCUACCGGCUAAACUCCGUGCUAGCAGCCGC
RNAcentral lists this ribosomal RNA (445 nucleotides) under uncultured soil bacterium. RNAcentral's name for it is "bacterial SSU rRNA". It matches the Rfam family "Bacterial small subunit ribosomal RNA", at positions 26 to 518 of the family's 1533-position model. The record is from RNAcentral.